This 256-nucleotide ribosomal RNA is filed under the name uncultured bacterium. Its description in RNAcentral is "partial 16S ribosomal RNA". It matches the Rfam family "Bacterial small subunit ribosomal RNA", at positions 524 to 776 of the family's 1533-position model. The record is from RNAcentral.
CACGUAGGGUGCGAGCGUUGUCCGGAAUUAUUGGGCGUAAAGAGCUCGUAGGCGGUGUGUCGCGUCGGCCGUGAAAACCUGCAGCUUAACUGUGGGCGUGCGGUCGAUACGGGCAUCACUGGAGUUCGGCAGGGGAGACUGGAAUUCCUGGUGUAGCGGUGAAAUGCGCAGAUAUCAGGAAGAACACCUAUGGCGAAGGCAGCUCUCUGGGACGGUACUGACGCUGAGACGCGAAAAGCGUGGGGGAGCGAACAGG